UGCGGAGGAUCAUUGUCGGUUCUUCGCAAUUGUCGGUUUUUGUAAUCCCGCCCCAGCGCGGCUCGAGGUCAAACUCGAUAACCUUCGGUCCGACCACGCCGGUGGGACUUCUCCAUGGGCCGCAGAGUGGGCUUCACGUCCUUCUGCGGCGAAAGUGGAGCGUCCCCGAAAUGAGGUUGUCACCAAUGCCAUUAGUCUCAGAAUGUAAUAGCAGGCAGCGAUGCCAAUGCAACCAAUUACAACUUUCAGCAACGGAUCUCUUGGCUCUCGCAUCGAUGAAGAACGCAGCGAAUUGCGAUAUGUUAGUGUGAAACGCAGAACAGUGAAUCAUCGAGACUUUGAACGCACCUUGCGCCCUCCGGUCUUCCGGAGAGCAUGCCUGUCUGAGUGUCGCUAAAACCCCCAUAGGCCGAAAGGUCUGAUUCGGAUGUGUGCCGUGUUUGGCUCCGUCUAAGAUGCAGUUGGAACGUGGCCGAGGUUGCCUCUUCCGAGACAGUUGAGCGUGAUUACCUUCAUGCGUCUCAAAGGGAGGGUGUAGACUCUCGUGCUCCCCAUUGCGGAGUGCCUUCGCGGCGCCGCGGUGUGGUCUUCUAGUGACGUGGCCUCAGAUCAGGUAGGACUACCCGCUGAACUUAA
Molecule: ribosomal RNA, 636 nt
Filed under: uncultured Marasmiaceae
Lineage: Eukaryota; Fungi; Basidiomycota; Agaricomycetes; Agaricales
Description: eukaryotic LSU rRNA
Rfam family: 5.8S ribosomal RNA (bases 241-393)
Source: RNAcentral